RNAcentral lists this long non-coding RNA (1633 nucleotides) under Ananas comosus (pineapple). RNAcentral's name for it is "long non-coding RNA (ACOM_LNC022951)". Lineage: Eukaryota; Viridiplantae; Streptophyta; Magnoliopsida; Poales; Bromeliaceae. The record is from RNAcentral.
UAUAUAUAUAUAAAUAUAUAUAAUCCAACUAAAUAUGUUUUUAGGAGGAUAGAAAUUUUUGUUCUUUUAAGUCAUUUUAGAUGAUAGAGAUUUUGAAUCGAUAAUCAAAAUCAUUAAAGUUGAUUUAGAGUAUUUAAAGUGUCUAGAAAUUAAAUUUUAUAGAUUUUAAAAAUUAUUUACGUAGUGAUCAAAGGAUUACAAAAUCGCCAAUUUUUUAUAGCCUAUAUAAGCUGUUUGUUUGUUUAAUAGUGUAGAACAAUUCAAACAGCUAGAACUUUGAUAAAAAAAAUUUUAUACUAUUUAGAUGACGUUUGAUAACUCCGAUCAUGAAUUGAAAAAGUAUAACAUCUAUUUUCACAAGAUUAUUUAUUUUUAACUGUUUAUUUUUCGACUCUUCAAUAAACUUGAUAAUGAAUUUUAAAAUAUAUGAAAUUUAAUUUUUAGACAUUAUAAAUAUUCUAGAUCAAUUUUAACGAUUCUGAUCAUCGAUUCGGGAUCCCUAUCAUCUAAAAUAACUUAGGAUGACGAAGGCCUUUGUUCUCCUAAAAGCUAUGUAUUACGGACACUUUUAUCAACCUCGCGUGUUCGUGUCGGACGCGUGUUCGUGUUGGACACGUGUUCGAUUUGGACACUUCUUGUACGCACAUUUAAUGUCGAUUCAUAGCGCAAACAACUCAAAAAGAUAUACAUAUUUUUAUUUUACUUUUUUUUAAUGCAUUAUAAAUGUAAGAUGAUAAAUAUUUUAGUUUAUUAAUGAAUGCAUAUAAAUUUUUUGACAAUAGAAAUAAAUUAUGUAUGGCACAUAAUUUUUUUCUUAAAAUAUAUGAAUUAUCAAUAAAAAUUUUAUCAAAAUUAAUAUUAUAUAUACAAUAAAUAGAUAUAUAUUAUUAUAUUACUAAUAUUAUAUUAUAUUAGCGGUGUCCAUGUCAUGUUUUAGUCCUAAUUUUUUAAAAACUGCCGAAUCGUCAUGUUCGAGUCGUGUUAUGUCUCGUGUCCUGUAUCAGUGUCUAUGUCGCCUGGCUUAAAAGUAUAGCAACUUGGAACUAUAUCUAUGUAUAUUCAAUCUACUAUAUUGAUAAUAAACGAAGCCGGUGAUUGGUACACGAGGGGUUCAAAUUUGAAGUCUAAUUGCUUUAAUUUCCAGCGAAGCAGAUAACACACUACCUCUCUCUAAAAAAAAAAUAUUAAUAACAACUAAUUUUGAAAUUAUAAACAAAAAACAAAGCUAAUGAACCCAAAACAACAUUCACUCAAAUUAAAACAAUUUGAAACUCAAAAUUUGAGAGAACAACUACUUUUUCUUUUUUAAAGCAAACCAAGAUCAAAUCCAUUCUCUCUCCUCUCUCUUUCUCUCUCUUUCAUCUAUCCCUGUUUUCUUCUCUCUCAUCUUUCAUGGAAGAAGAAGAAGGAAAGAUUCUGCCCCCACCCCCUCCCCUCUCACAAUUUAUAUUCACUCUUCCCCGAUUCAUUUAUUAAUUACUCUUCCCUUAUUCCACCACCACCCUGUUCUCAUUAUCAUCAUUAUCAUUAUUCAACGGAAUAAGUAGAGAGAGAUUAUUAUUCACAUUUCCCCCUCCUUCUUAUUCCCCCGCUUCAACUUAUUCGCCCCAUCCAUGUCUCCUCCUCCUCCUCC